ACUAGCAGUAAGAGUUUGAUCCUGGCUCAGAUUGAACGCUGGCGGCAUGCCUAACACAUGCAAGUCGCACGCGAAAGGGGGCAACCCCGAGUAGAGUGGCGGACGGGUGCGUAAUACGUAGGAAUCUACCUAGUACGUGGGGGACAACCCGGCGAAAGCCGGGCUAAUACCGCAUACGGACCUAUGGGUGAAAGCCGGGGACCGCAAGGCCUGGCGCUAUUAGAUGAGCCUGCGUCGGAUUAGCUAGUUGGUGGGGUAAAGGCUCACCAAGGCGACCGAUCCGUAGCUGGGUCUGAGAGGACGACCAGCCACACUGGGACUGAGACACGGCCCAGACUCCUACGGGAGGCAGCAGUGGGGAAUAUUGCGCAAUGGGCGAAAGCCUGACGCAGCGACGCCGCGUGUGGGAUGACGGCCUUCGGGUUGUAAACCACUGUCGGGAGGGACGAAGAUCUGACGGUACCUCCAAAGGAAGCACCGGCUAACUCUGUGCCAGCCGCCGCGGUAAUAC
This 511-nucleotide ribosomal RNA is filed under the name uncultured Gammaproteobacteria bacterium. Its description in RNAcentral is "bacterial SSU rRNA". It matches the Rfam family "Bacterial small subunit ribosomal RNA", at positions 1 to 526 of the family's 1533-position model. The record is from RNAcentral. Lineage: Bacteria; Pseudomonadati; Pseudomonadota; Gammaproteobacteria.